GAUGAACGCUGGCGGCGUGCCUAAUACAUGCAAGUCGAGCGAACGGACGAGAAGCUUGCUUCUCUGAUGUUAGCGGCGGACGGGUGAGUAACACGUGGAUAACCUACCUAUAAGACUGGGAUAACUUCGGGAAACCGGAGCUAAUACCGGAUAAUAUUUUGAACCGCAUGGUUCAAAAGUGAAAGACGGUUUUGCUGUCACUUAUAGAUGGAUCCGCGCUGCAUUAGCUAGUUGGUAAGGUAACGGCUUACCAAGGCAACGAUGCAUAGCCGACCUGAGAGGGUGAUCGGCCACACUGGAACUGAGACACGGUCCAGACUCCUACGGGAGGCAGCAGUAGGGAAUCUUCCGCAAUGGGCGAAAGCCUGACGGAGCAACGCCGCGUGAGUGAUGAAGGUCUUCGGAUCGUAAAACUCUGUUAUUAGGGAAGAACAUAUGUGUAAGUAACUAUGCACGUCUUGACGGUACCUAAUCAGAAAGCCACGGCUAACUACGUG
Molecule: ribosomal RNA, 497 nt
Filed under: uncultured bacterium
Lineage: Bacteria
Description: partial 16S ribosomal RNA
Rfam family: Bacterial small subunit ribosomal RNA
Source: RNAcentral